UAUGGGGACCUGCGGAGGUCAUUAAAGAAAUUUAAUUGAUUUGUCUGAGCUCGGAGAGAGACAUCUCUGGGGAGGACCAGUGUAGACACUCAGGAGGCUCCUAAAAUAUUUUCUCUGCUGUGAAUGCUAUUCAUCCUGCCUGCGCUUAAGUGCGCGGUUGGUGGGUGUUCUGCAGUGGGGGGAGGGAGCCGACAAAGACCUGGGAGUGUGCGUGGAUCUCUCUAUUCCAAAGGAGGUGUUUUAUCACACGACUCGACACUUUCUAAUUACUACACACAGUGGAGUUUACUUUACUACUAUUCUUUUGUUCGUUGGGGGAACGCUCUCUUUCGGGGGGGAAGUUCCCCCAGGGAAGGCAAACCCAAACAAAUAUUUUUUUAAAAAAAUUCAUCCAACACAAAAUUUCUUUUAUAAAAAAACAACUUCAAAACUUUCAACAAGGGAUCUCUGGGUUCCCGCACCAAUAAAAAACCCACCGAAUGGCAAUACGUAAGGGGAAUUGCAAAAUUCCGGGAACCACCAAACCUUUAACGGCACUUGGCCCCUCCGGGAAUUCCGGGGGGCAGGCUGGUUUAACGGCCUUUUCUUUCCCAAAAACUUUGGGUUGGGAAGGGAGGGAUACUCUGGUUUUGAGUAAACUUGAAUUGUAGGCAAUUCAUAUUGGGACCGACGCAGCUUCCCUAUAACUGCUGCUCGUUGGCCGACGCGGGGGUUAAUACUGUAUUAGGUUUACCAACUCGUGUUGAUCUAGGAGGAUAAGUGAUGUUUGUGCUGCUGGGCGACGACUCUUAGUUGACCUCAAUCAGGUAGGUACCGCUGACUAAGCAUCAUAAAGGGGAAGAGAA
RNAcentral lists this ribosomal RNA (845 nucleotides) under Nakaseomyces glabratus. RNAcentral's name for it is "eukaryotic LSU rRNA". The stretch from base 429 to 581 matches the Rfam family "5.8S ribosomal RNA". Lineage: Eukaryota; Fungi; Ascomycota; Saccharomycetes; Saccharomycetales; Saccharomycetaceae. The record is from RNAcentral.